Molecule: ribosomal RNA, 467 nt
Filed under: uncultured bacterium
Lineage: Bacteria
Description: partial 16S ribosomal RNA
Rfam family: Bacterial small subunit ribosomal RNA
Source: RNAcentral
GACGAACGCUGGCGGCGUGCUUAACACAUGCAAGUCGAACGGAAAGGCUCCAGCUUGCUGGCGUACUCGAGUGGCGAACGGGUGAGUAACACGUGGGUAAUCUGCCCUGCACUCUGGGAUAAGCCUGGGAAACUGGGUCUAAUACUGGAUAUGACCUUUCUCCUUAUGGGGUUUGGUGGAAAGUUUUUCGGUGUAGGAUGAGCCCGCGGCCUAUCAGCUUGUUGGUGGGGUGAUGGCCUACCAAGGCGACGACGGGUAGCCGGCCUGAGAGGGUGAUCGGCCACAUUGGGACUGAGAUACGGCCCAGACUCCUACGGGAGGCAGCAGGGGGGAAUAUUGCACAAUGGGCGGAAGCCUGAUGCAGCGACGCCGCGUGAGGGAUGACGGCCUUCGGGUUGUAAACCUCUUUCAGCAGGGACGAAGCGUAAGUGACGGUACCUGCAGAAGAAGCACCGGCUAGCUAUGUG